GCCGAACGCUUUCUUCGUGCUUAACACAUGCAAGUCGAACGGGCCUGUCUUCUUUUUUGGGGGUGGGUUGGGUGGCGACCGGGUGAGUAUCACGUGAGUAACCUGCCCUUCGGUCCUGGAUAACCGCUUGAAAGGGCGGCUAAUACGGGGUGGUCCGGUUGGUCCGCAUGGGCUGGUCGGGAUAGAUUCACUGUUUUUGGUGUUUCGGCGGGGGAUGGGCUCGCGGCCUAUCCGCUUGUUGGUGGGGUGAUGGCCUACCAAGGCGGUGACGGGUAGCCGGCCGGAGAGGGUGGGCGGCCACACUGGGACUGAGAUACGGCCCAGACUCCUGCGGGAGGCAGCAGUGGGGGGUAGUGCACAAUGGGCGGAAGCCUGAUGCAGCGACGUCGCGUGAGGGAUGGAGGCCUUCGGGUUGUGAACCUCUGUUUCCGGUGGUGAAGGCCCUGUCCGUGUGGUGGGGUUGACGGUAGCCGGGGAUGAAGCGCGGGCUAACUACGUG
Molecule: ribosomal RNA, 499 nt
Filed under: uncultured bacterium
Lineage: Bacteria
Description: partial 16S ribosomal RNA
Rfam family: Bacterial small subunit ribosomal RNA
Source: RNAcentral